ACCGAAGUAAUUUUUUGUAUCGAGUCGAUAAAAUUAGACCGGUCUCGAUUGGAGAUAGGAGAAUAAUUUUACACAUUUCUUUUCUAUUUUUCUGGAUAAACCUGGUAUAAUUCGUGAUAUACCAGUGAGCUUGUCACCAUUCAUAGAAUCAUUUUGAUAUAUACUUUAUUACAAUACAACCUAAAUUCGAGGAAUUCGAGAGGGAGAAACUCGUCGUUAAGUAUCAUUGUUGACAUGGGUUACGCGCUCUCGUCUUGAGUGAGUUGUGUCAUUUUUCAACGUUAAUACAACCGUCUAUUUCCGAAAAAAUAAGUAAUUAUUUCAUCAACAUGACGGAGGUGGAAGAAAACGCAACUAUAGAACCGGUUAAGGAGGAGCCCGCCGCUCCAAAUACCUACACGAUCCGUCCAAAUUUCCUGAAGAAAUUUCGCUCUGCUGCAGUCAAGGCAGUGAUCCACACCGUACUCAACGAGGAGCUAACGGACAAGCAGUACAGUGCAGAGGAGACGACUGCCUGGUGCAAGCAAAUCAGUGAGAAGAUUAAGGAAAGGUUAAAAGAACUCGAAUUAGACCGCUACAAGUUCAUCAUCCAAGUCGUGAUAGGAGAACAGAGAGGUGAAGGAGUCAAGAUGGGCUGUAGAUGUUUCUGGGACUCCGAUACUGACAACUAUGCACAGGAUAUUUACAUGAGUGACUCUCUGUUUUGUGUAGCGGCUGCAUUUGGAGUCUUCUACUACUAGGCCAAUAUGUGCAAGAUCACAGCGAAAAGCUAGACUAGGUCUAGUCCAGGUCCUCCUUUGUCCUUCUAGUUCCAAGCCUCCAAUCUGGAUCCAAGACCAGCGCAGAAGGCUAACUUCCUGUGUUCGGUUUCUGUUGUGUGCUCCUAGCAGUCGACUAUGGAUUUUGACCGGAUUGGAAAUCUAUUUUGUUUUAAAAAGAAGAGCAAGAGAAAAGUGAUGUUAUAUUAUGGAGAAGAUUGUUAAUAAAAUAACAAGGAGUUCAUAUUUCUCUUAACGUAAACAGAGUGACAUACAUGU
Molecule: long non-coding RNA, 1037 nt
Organism: Strongylocentrotus purpuratus (purple sea urchin)
Lineage: Eukaryota; Metazoa; Echinodermata; Echinoidea; Camarodonta; Strongylocentrotidae
Product: tctex1 domain-containing protein 2
Exons: 5
Source: RefSeq, a predicted model, not a curated record